Molecule: ribosomal RNA, 206 nt
Filed under: uncultured bacterium
Lineage: Bacteria
Description: partial 16S ribosomal RNA
Rfam family: Bacterial small subunit ribosomal RNA
Source: RNAcentral
UGCGCAGACGGUUUGUUAAGUCAAUUGUUUAAUUCCUCGGCCUAACUGAGGAUCAGCGGUAGAAACUGAUAAACUAGAGUGUGAGAGAGGGAAGCGGAAUUCUCGGAGUAGCGGUAAAAUGCGUAGAUCUCGAGAGGAACACCGAUGGCGAAGGCAACUUCCUGGCUCAUUACUGACGUUCAUGCACGAAAGCGUGGGAGCAAACA